GCACAGGUAGUCUAGUGGUUGGGCGGCGGACUGCAGUUCCGCUUCACAUGAGUUCGAAUCUCAUCCUGUGCUCCA
RNAcentral lists this transfer RNA (75 nucleotides) under Promethearchaeati archaeon. RNAcentral describes it as "Asgard group archaeon (marine sediment metagenome) tRNA-Cys". It matches the Rfam family "tRNA". Rfam says of the family: Transfer RNA (tRNA) molecules are approximately 80 nucleotides in length. Their secondary structure includes four short double-helical elements and three loops (D, anti-codon, and T loops). Further hydrogen bonds mediate the characteristic L-shaped molecular structure. tRNAs have two regions of fundamental functional importance: the anti-codon, which is responsible for specific mRNA codon recognition, and the 3' end, to which the tRNAs corresponding amino acid is attached (by aminoacyl-tRNA synthetases). tRNAs cope with the degeneracy of the genetic code in two manners: having more than one tRNA (with a specific anti-codon) for a particular amino acid; and 'wobble' base-pairing, i.e. permitting non-standard base-pairing at the 3rd anti-codon position. The record is from RNAcentral. Lineage: Archaea; Promethearchaeati.